AUUUUAAUAAAUUAUUUCUUAUUAAAUUAUUUACGGUUUUGAAGGAAAAAUACUAUUCCACAAUUUUUUGGAAUACGCAAAAUUUUGAUUUUACGGUUUUGACGGGAAAAAUACAAUUCUCCGAUUUUACGGUUUUGGCGGAAAAACGCAAUUCCAUAAUUUUUCCGCCAAAAUCGUGAUUAUAUUAUAUUGGUAAA
Molecule: small RNA, 197 nt
Filed under: Arabidopsis thaliana (thale cress)
Lineage: Eukaryota; Viridiplantae; Streptophyta; Magnoliopsida; Brassicales; Brassicaceae
Description: ATSL147080
Source: RNAcentral